This 497-nucleotide ribosomal RNA is filed under the name uncultured bacterium. Its description in RNAcentral is "partial 16S ribosomal RNA". It matches the Rfam family "Bacterial small subunit ribosomal RNA", at positions 28 to 507 of the family's 1533-position model. The record is from RNAcentral.
GAUGAACGCUGGCGGCGUGCCUAAUACAUGCAAGUCGAGCGAACGGACGAGAAGCUUGCUUCUCUGAUGUUAGCGGCGGACGGGUGAGUAACACGUGGAUAACCUACCUAUAAGACUGGGAUAACUUCGGGAAACCGGAGCUAAUACCGGAUAAUAUUUUGAACCGCAUGGUUCAAAAGUAAAAGACGGUCUUGCUGUCACUUAUAGAUGGAUCCGCGCUGCAUUAGCUAGUUGGUAAGGUAACGGCUUACCAAGGCAACGAUGCAUAGCCGACCUGAGAGGGUGAUCGGCCACACUGGAACUGAGACACGGUCCAGACUCCUACGGGAGGCAGCAGUAGGGAAUCUUCCGCAAUGGGCGAAAGCUUGACGGAGCAACGCCGCGUGAGUGAUGAAGGUCUUCGGAUCGUAAAACUCUGUUAUUAGGGAAGAACAAAUGUGUAAGUAACUAUGCACGUCUUGACGGUACCUAAUCAGAAAGCCACGGCUAACUACGUG